GCACAGUGCUUUUGCAUCUCCGACGGCCCUGUGCGUGGUAAAAACGAGCUUCCAACAGGAGAGCUAUAAACGAAAGGCAUUUUGGCUCGGAGGAGAGAGGAGACGUAAAAAUAGCAUCCCUCUCUCCUCGAUGCAUCUCACAGACAAGCAACGACUGCAGCGCGGAAGUGUCAAAAUCUCCAGCUGCGCGCGAGAAACGGAUCCUCUCCGGAGCAACAAGGCCAUACUGGGGGCUUUGCAGGCGGCCGGCGACAAGAUCUUCCACGGCGAGACCUUCGGCGGCACAAGCGACUACUGAAUCGACAAGUGCUUGGAUCGGCAUCCCACGUUGCCGGCGACCAUAGAAGGAUGGACCAGAACUUUGGCGAGGAUGGAUCCCAAAGCAAUGUCUUCUUUGCUUCCGACCAGUGCACAUUUCGUUUUGAUACUAGUCGAUCAAAUUUCCAAGAUUUAAACAUGCACCAGGUAUUGACAUGGCAAUAAUAUUGGAGUCAACUAUUUUCUUGAGUUAAUUUGUUGUCACUGCAUGCAGUACAAUUUUGU
Panicum virgatum (switchgrass) is the source of this 543-nucleotide long non-coding RNA. RefSeq lists it as uncharacterized. The record is from RefSeq and is a predicted model, not a curated record. NCBI's taxonomy places the organism in Eukaryota, Viridiplantae, Streptophyta, Magnoliopsida, Poales, Poaceae. The transcript is spliced from 3 exons.